RNAcentral lists this small nucleolar RNA (106 nucleotides) under Ricinus communis (castor bean). Its description in RNAcentral is "Plant small nucleolar RNA R71". It matches the Rfam family "Plant small nucleolar RNA R71". From Rfam's summary of the family: R71 is a member of the C/D box family of snoRNAs containing the C (UGAUGA) and D (CUGA) box motifs. Multiple nearly identical copies of this snoRNA have been identified in Arabidopsis, and it is thought to function as a 2'-O-ribose methylation guide for 18S ribosomal RNA. Lineage: Eukaryota; Viridiplantae; Streptophyta; Magnoliopsida; Malpighiales; Euphorbiaceae. The record is from Rfam by way of RNAcentral.
AAACCAUGGUGUGGCAAUAUCUUAGCAAGUCCUUGUAUUUCUCCUAUGCAUCAUACAUGCUCUCAUCAUCAAAUUGCACAAAAGAAGAAAUAUCAUUACGCAUCUU